Molecule: ribosomal RNA, 464 nt
Filed under: uncultured bacterium
Lineage: Bacteria
Description: partial 16S ribosomal RNA
Rfam family: Bacterial small subunit ribosomal RNA
Source: RNAcentral
CUACGGGGCGCUCCAGUCGAGAAUCUUUUGCAAUGCGCGAAAGCGUGACAAUGCGACGCCGUGUGAGCGAUGAAGGUCUUCGGAUUGUAAAGCUCUGUCAGCUUGGAUGAAAGCACUGGUACGAACAAUACCGGUGUCUGACGGUACAGGCAGAGGAAGCCACGGCUAACUCCGUGCCAGCAGCCGCGGUAAUACGGAGGUGGCAAGCGUUGUUCGGAUUGAUUGGGUGUAAAGGGUAUGUAGGUGUCCUUACAAGUCUUUCUUGAAAUACUCUGGCUCAACCAGAGACCCGGGAGAGAAACUGUUUGGAUUGAGUACUGGAGAGGAAAGCGGAAUUCCCGGUGUAAGGGUGAAAUCUGUAGAUAUCGGGAGGAACACCAGUGGCGAAAGCGGCUUUCUGGCCAGAUACUGACACUGAAAUACGAAAGCAAGAGGAGCAAACAGGAUUAGAUACCCCUGUAGUC